RNAcentral lists this unclassified non-coding RNA (233 nucleotides) under uncultured fungus. RNAcentral describes it as "sequence contains ITS1". Lineage: Eukaryota; Fungi. The record is from RNAcentral.
UAUAAGGUUUAUAGGCACAAGCCUGAUACAUUCUGUUACAUGCUAUGGGGUAUAUGGAAAAACGUAGAGCAGGAAAUACAAAGAAAGCUUGCGCCUUCCGAGUCUAUCCAGGUCUACAAGAGGUGCACAGGUGGAGAGAUGAAUGGUGGGUGUGCACAUGCCCCAAAGAGGGCCAGCAACAACCACACCAAGUUCAUUCAAUAAUGAUCCUUCCGCAGGUUCACCUACGGAAA